UGGUGGAGUGAUUUGUCUGGUUAAUUCCGUUAACGAACGAGACCUCGACCUGCUAAAUAGUUUGGCGAAUUCCCUGUGGAUUCGCACAUAACUUCUUAGGGGGACUAUCGGUUCGCAGCCGGUGGAAGUUCGAGGCAAUAACA
Molecule: ribosomal RNA, 143 nt
Filed under: uncultured eukaryote
Lineage: Eukaryota
Description: partial 18S ribosomal RNA
Rfam family: Eukaryotic small subunit ribosomal RNA
Source: RNAcentral